Molecule: ribosomal RNA, 403 nt
Filed under: uncultured bacterium
Lineage: Bacteria
Description: partial 16S ribosomal RNA
Rfam family: Bacterial small subunit ribosomal RNA
Source: RNAcentral
AUUGAACGCUGGCGGCAGGCCUAACACAUGCAAGUCGAGCGAGCGGAGGACGGGUGAGUAAUGUAUGGGGACUGCCCGAUAGAGGGGGAUAACUACUGGAAACGGUAGUUAAUACCGAAUACUAUCGGAUAACCAAUAUGGGAUUAGCUAGUAGGUGAGGUAAUGGCUCACAUAGGCGAAGAUCCCUAGCUGGUCUGAGAGGAUGAUCAGCCACACUGGUACUGAACCACGGCCCGGACGCCUACGGAGGAAGCAGUGGGGAAUAUCGCACAAGGGGCGCAAGCCUGAUGCAGCCAUGCCGCGUGUAUGAAGAAGUCCUUAGGGUUGUAAAGUAUUUUCAGUCGGGAGGCGUUACCGACAGAAAAAGCGCCGGCUAACUGCGUGCCAGCAGCCGCGGUAAUAC